RNAcentral lists this long non-coding RNA (452 nucleotides) under Equus asinus (donkey). RNAcentral's name for it is "lncRNA (ENSEASG00005038375.1)". The record is from RNAcentral. Lineage: Eukaryota; Metazoa; Chordata; Mammalia; Perissodactyla; Equidae.
GGUGACUCUUUUCAUGGGGCUCUGGUAUUCUCUCAACAGAGAGCUGAGAUUCCUGGAUUUAGGACUUUUUUCAGAAGAGUUAACCCUUCUAAUUACCCAGAAGAAAUGUUUCUUAGAAGUUUCUGGAAUUGGGCUUUUGAGUGCCCAGAUUUUUCUGAAAUAUUCGGGCAAGAGGAAUUGUCACUGAGUGCUUCCCUGGACAUGCUUCCCUGUCAUUAUUUUGAUAUUUCCAUGUCUGUGCUGAGUUACAGAGUUUACACUGCAGUGUAUGCUGUAGCUUGGGCACUGCAAAACAUGUUUCUAACCAGAUCUGAAAGGAGUUCAUGUGGCGUUAAAGGCAGCCCAGUGCCUACAUCUCAGAAGGUCUUGUGAGAAGCCAUGGGAAGCAUUUGAGAGAGAAACCUUUUGCCUGCUUGACUCACCUUUGGGGAGUAUCAACAUCUCAUCUUCCA